GACGAAGGGGGCUAGCGUUGUUCGGAAUUACUGGGCGUAAAGCGCGUGUAGGCGGUUAUCCAAGUCGGAUGUGAAAGCCUUGAGCUCAACUCAAGAAAUGCAUUCGGUACUGGGUGACUAGAGGACCGGAGAGGAUAGUGGAAUUCCCAGUGUAGUGGUGAAAUACGUAGAGAUUGGGAAGAACAUCGGUGGCGAAAGCGCUCUACUGGACCUCAUCUGACACUCAGGGACGAAAGCUAGGGGAGCGAACAGG
This 253-nucleotide ribosomal RNA is filed under the name uncultured bacterium. RNAcentral's name for it is "partial 16S ribosomal RNA". It matches the Rfam family "Bacterial small subunit ribosomal RNA", at positions 524 to 776 of the family's 1533-position model. The record is from RNAcentral.